Molecule: ribosomal RNA, 431 nt
Filed under: uncultured bacterium
Lineage: Bacteria
Description: partial 16S ribosomal RNA
Rfam family: Bacterial small subunit ribosomal RNA
Source: RNAcentral
AACGAACGCUGGCGGCAGGCUUAACACAUGCAAGUCGAGCGCCCCGCAAGGGGAGCGGCCGACGGGUGAGUAACGCGUGGGAACGUACCUUUUGGUUCGGAACAACUCCGGGAAACUGGAGCUAAUACCGGAUAAGCCCUAACGGGGAAAGAUUUAUCGCCGAAAGAUCGGCCCGCGUCUGAUUAGCUAGUUGGUGAGGUAACGGCUCACCAAGGCGACGAUCAGUAGCUGGUCUGAGAGGAUGAUCAGCCACACUGGGACUGAGACACGGCCCAGACUCCUACGGGAGGCAGCAGUGGGGAAUAUUGGACAAUGGGCGCAAGCAUGAUCCAGCCAUGCCGCGUGAGUGAUGAAGGCCUUAGGGUUGUAAAGCUCUUUUGUCCGGGAAGAUAAUGACUGUACCGGAAGAAUAAGCCCAGGCUAACUUCGUG